GAUGAACGCUGGCGGCGUGCUUAACACAUGCAAGUCGAACGAUGAAGCCCAGCUUGCUGGGUGGAUUAGUGGCGAACGGGUGAGUAACACGUGAGUAACCUGCCCUUAACUCUGGGAUAAGCCUGGGAAACUGGGUCUAAUACCGGAUAGGAGCGUCCACCGCAUGGUGGGUGUUGGAAAGAUUUAUCGGUUUUGGAUGGACUCGCGGCCUAUCAGCUUGUUGGUGAGGUAAUGGCUCACCAAGGCGACGACGGGUAGCCGGCCUGAGAGGGUGACCGGCCACACUGGGACUGAGACACGGCCCAGACUCCUACGGGAGGCAGCAGUGGGGAAUAGUGCACAAUGGGCGCAAGCCUGAUGCAGCGACGCCGCGUGAGGGAUGACGGCCUUCGGGUUGUAAACCUCUUUCAGUAGGGAAGAAGCGAAAGUGACGGUACCUGCAGAAGAAGCACCGGCUAACUACGUG
This 466-nucleotide ribosomal RNA is filed under the name uncultured bacterium. RNAcentral describes it as "partial 16S ribosomal RNA". It matches the Rfam family "Bacterial small subunit ribosomal RNA", at positions 28 to 507 of the family's 1533-position model. The record is from RNAcentral.